RNAcentral lists this transfer RNA (71 nucleotides) under Angiostrongylus costaricensis. It matches the Rfam family "tRNA". Rfam says of the family: Transfer RNA (tRNA) molecules are approximately 80 nucleotides in length. Their secondary structure includes four short double-helical elements and three loops (D, anti-codon, and T loops). The record is from Rfam by way of RNAcentral. Lineage: Eukaryota; Metazoa; Nematoda; Chromadorea; Rhabditida; Metastrongylidae.
GCAUUGGUGAUCCAAUGGUGGAAUGCUUGCUUGUCACGUGGAUUACCCGGAUUCGAUUCCUGGCCAGUGCA